This 427-nucleotide ribosomal RNA is filed under the name uncultured archaeon. Its description in RNAcentral is "bacterial SSU rRNA". It matches the Rfam family "Archaeal small subunit ribosomal RNA", at positions 474 to 903 of the family's 1478-position model. The record is from RNAcentral.
UACCAGCUCUCCGAGUGGUGUGGAUGUUUAUUGGGCCUAAAGCAUCCGUAGCUGGCUGGACAAGUCCCCUGUUAAAUCCACCGAUUUAAUCGUUGGUGUGCGGGGGAUACUGUUCGGCUAGGGGACGGGAGAGGCAGACGGUAUUUUCGGGGUAGGGGUGAAAUCCUAUAAUCCCGGGAAGACCACCAGUGGCGAAGGCUGUCUGCUAGAACGCGCCCGACGGUGAGGGAUGAAAGCUGGGGGAGCGAACCGGAUUAGAUACCCGGGUAGUCCCAGCUGUAAACGAUGCAGGCUAGGUGUUUGGACGGCCACGUGCCGUUCUAGUGCCGCAGGGAAGCCGUUAAGCCUGCCGCCUGGGGAGUACGGCCGCAAGGCUGAAACUUAAGGAAUUGGCGGGGAGCACCACAAGGGGUGAAGCUUGCGGUUU